UGGCUGGCGGCGCGGAUUCAAACCGGAGCGCGGGGCCGUUGGGGCUGCGCGCGCCGCUGGGGCCGGAGCCGCGGCCCAGGAGGAUGGAGAUUACCAUGGUGAACCUGCGGGGUCUGUACGAGCAGCUCACGCGCCAGGCCGAGUUUCUGAGCGAAGGAAACGAAUGCCAGUUUAUUCAGUUAGCCAAGAACUUUGAGGAGAACCGGAGGAAAUGGCAGAAAAUAGAGCAGGAGCUCAGCAGGUACAAAGAUCUCCUCAUGAAGACAGAAGCUGAGCGCAGUGCCCUGGACGUGAAACUGAAACACGCCCGCAAUCAGGUGGAUGUGGAGAUCAAACGGAGGCAAAAAGCUGAAAUGGACUGUGAGAAGCUGGAGCGGCAAAUCCAGCUGAUUCGGGAGCUGCUCAUGUGUGAUGCCUCCGGCAGCAUCCAGCUCAGCGAGGAGCAGAAGUCUGUCCUCGCCUUCCUGAACAGGCCACAGGCUUCUGUGGGAAGUGCAGGCAACAAAAGGCUGUCUACAAUAGAUGAAUCUGGCUCAAUUCUGUCAGACAUCAGCUUUGACAAGAGCGAUGACUCACUGGACUGGGAUUCUUCCGUGGUGAAAGCUGUUAGGCUGAAGAGGAGAGAGAAGCGGCGCUCUUCCAGGCAGUUUGCUGAAGGCCCCCCAGCUCCUCAGAAGAAAUCCAGAUCUAUCAGCAACACAGCAGACCAGGCUAAUGAAUCCAUAGUAGCAAAGACCACUGUGAUGGUCCCCAAUGACGGUGGCCCAAUUGAAGCCAUUUCUACCAUCCAGACUGUGCCUUACCCUCGGAGGAGCCGGAGGAAGAGCGGUCCUUUGCAGCCCUGGAACAGCGAGUCCAGCAUAGGCAGUAAGCAGCUGGAGUCCAAGCUGGACACUGAUGGCUCCAGCACCCCACAGCACAACAGCGGAGUGAGGCUGCACGACUUUGUUUCAAAAACGGUUAUCAAGCCAGAAUCGUGUGUUCCUUGUGGAAAGAGAGUCAAGUUUGGGAAGAUCUCUCUGAAGUGCAGAGACUGCCGGGUGGUGGCUCACCCGGAGUGCCGGGAGCGCUGCCCCCUGCCCUGCAUCCCCACGCUGACGGGCACUCCGGUCCGCAUCGGGGAGGGCACCUUGAUGGAUUUUGUCCCUUCUACUCCUCCAAUGAUCCCUUCCAUCAUCGUGCACUGUGUUAAUGAGAUUGAGCAACGAGGGCUGCAUGAGACAGGUAUUUACCGUGUCUCUGGCUGUGACAAGACUGUGAGGGAACUGAAGGAGAAGUUUCUCAGAGCAAAGAACAUUCCUUUGCUCAGUAAAGUGGACGAUAUCCACGCCAUCUGCGGCCUUCUCAAGGACUUCCUGCGCAGCCUGAAAGAGCCCCUUCUCACUUUCCGGUUAAACAAGACUUUCAUGGAAGCUGCAGAAAUCCCGGAUGAGGACAACAGCAUUGCUGCUAUGUACCAAGCAGUUGGAGAACUUCCUCAGGCCAAUAGGGACACGUUGGCUUUCCUCAUGGUCCACCUGCAGAGGGUGGCUCAGAGCCCGGACACUAAAAUGGACAUCUCCAAUUUGGCCAAAGUCUUUGGCCCCACAAUAGUCGCCCAUGCGGUACCAGAUCCUGACCCCAUGACCCUCCUGCAGGACACGAAGCGUCAGCCCAAGGUUGUGGAGCGACUCCUGCUGCUGCCCAUGGACUACUGGAGCCAGCUGAUGAUGGUGGAGCAGGAGAACAUUGACCCAGCACACGUGAUUGAGAACACCAAUGCCUAUUCCACUCCACGGACACCUGAGGUUCAAGUGAGCAUCCUGGGGCCUCUCACCACCCCGGAGCAUCAGCUCUCCAAGACGCCCUCAUCCAGCUCCCUGUCCCAGAGGGUCCGCUCCACCUUCAGCAAGACCACCCCCAAAUUUGGGAGCAAAAGCAAGUCAACAACCCAGCUUGGGCAUCAGGGUAACUUCUUUGCCUCUCCUAUGCUGAAGUGAAGACCUGGGAGUUGGUCUUGUCCUGGCAUUUGCACACCAAUGCUCACCAGUAGAAGAAAUACAGGAACAGCUCCAGCUGCUUUUUUUAUUACAGGACCUGAGUGCAGGAAAGGGGCAAAGACUCUUUUACACCAAGGAUGCUGCUGAGAAAUUGAGAGGUCUGACAGGAGACUCUGCAGAGCCUGCUGGGCACACAGAGGAAGACUCACAGUUCCUGUCACCCUGGAAGAGUGAAAACCAUGGUGACCCUGAGACACCUCCUACAGAGGGAAUCUGC
Molecule: RNA transcript, 2256 nt
Organism: Vidua macroura (Pin-tailed whydah)
Lineage: Eukaryota; Metazoa; Chordata; Aves; Passeriformes; Viduidae
Gene: RACGAP1
Gene name: Rac GTPase activating protein 1
Exons: 19
Source: RefSeq, a predicted model, not a curated record